Molecule: ribosomal RNA, 260 nt
Filed under: Escherichia coli
Lineage: Bacteria; Pseudomonadati; Pseudomonadota; Gammaproteobacteria; Enterobacterales; Enterobacteriaceae
Description: partial 16S ribosomal RNA
Rfam family: Bacterial small subunit ribosomal RNA
Source: RNAcentral
UUAAAUUGAAGAGUUUGAUCAUGGCUCAGAUUGAACGCUGGCGGCAGGCCUAACACAUGCAAGUCGAACGGUAACAGGAAGAAGCUUGCUUCUUUGCUGACGAGUGGCGGACGGGUGAGUAAUGUCUGGGAAACUGCCUGAUGGAGGGGGAUAACUACUGGAAACGGUAGCUAAUACCGCAUAACGUCGCAAGACCAAAGAGGGGGACCUUCGGGCCUCUUGCCAUCGGAUGUGCCCAGAUGGGAUUAGCUAGUAGGUGG